This 119-nucleotide ribosomal RNA is filed under the name Pteropus alecto (black flying fox). The record is from RNAcentral. Lineage: Eukaryota; Metazoa; Chordata; Mammalia; Chiroptera; Pteropodidae.
ACCAAUUAAAUCGGAAUGUAUGUAUGGCCCGAUCCUGUCUGAUCUCGGAAGCUAAGCAGAGUCGGGCCUGGUUAGUGCUUGGAUGGGAGACCACCUAGGAAGACCAGGUGCUGUAGGUG